ACCGAUAGUGAACCAGUACCGUGAGGGAAAGGCGAAAAGAACCCCGGCGAGGGGAGUGAAAAAGAACCUGAAACCGUGUACGUACAAGCAGUGGGAGCACAGAGCAAUCUGUGUGACUGCGUACCUUUUGUAUAAUGGGUCAGCGACUUAUAUUCUGUAGCAAGGUUAACCGAAUAGGGGAGCCGAAGGGAAACCGAGUCUUAACUGGGCGUUAAGUUGCAGGGUAUAGACCCGAAACCCGGUGAUCUAGCCAUGGGCAGGUUGAAGGUUGGGUAACACUAACUGGAGGACCGAACCGACUAAUGUUGAAAAAUUAGCGGAUGACUUGUGGCUGGGGGUGAAAGGCCAAUCAAACCGGGAGAUAGCUGGUUCUCCCCGAAAGCUAUUUAGGUAGCGCCUCGUGAAUUCAUCUCCGGGGGUAGAGCACUGUUUCGGCAAGGGGGUCAUCCCGACUUACCAACCCGAUGCAAACUGCGAAUACCGGAGAAUGUUAUCACGGGAGACACACGGCGGGUGCUAACGUCCGUCGUGAAGAGGGAAACAACCCAGACCGCCAGCUAAGGUCCCAAAGUCAUGGUUAAGUGGGAAACGAUGUGGGAAGGCCCAGACAGCCAGGAUGUUGGCUUAGAAGCAGCCAUCAUUUAAAGAAAGCGUAAUAGCUCACUGGUCGAGUCGGCCUGCGCGGAAGAUGUAACGGGGCUAAACCAUGCACCGAAGCUGCGGCAGCGACGCUUAUGCGUUGUUGGGUAGGGGAGCGUUCUGUAAGCCUGUGAAGGUGUACUGUGAGGUAUGCUGGAGGUAUCAGAAGUGCGAAUGCUGACAUAAGUAACGAUAAAGCGGGUGAAAAGCCCGCUCGCCGGAAGACCAAGGGUUCCUGUCCAACGUUAAUCGGGGCAGGGUGAGUCGACCCCUAAGGCGAGGCCGAAAGGCGUAGUCGAUGGGAAACAGGUUAAUAUUCCUGUACUUGGUGUUACUGCGAAGGGGGGACGGAGAAGGCUAUGUUGGCCGGGCGACGGUUGUCCCGGUUUAAGCGUGUAGGCUGGUUUUCCAGGCAAAUCCGGAAAAUCAAGGCUGAGGC
This 1078-nucleotide ribosomal RNA is filed under the name Escherichia coli. RNAcentral describes it as "partial 23S ribosomal RNA". It matches the Rfam family "Bacterial large subunit ribosomal RNA", at positions 483 to 1562 of the family's 2925-position model. Lineage: Bacteria; Pseudomonadati; Pseudomonadota; Gammaproteobacteria; Enterobacterales; Enterobacteriaceae. The record is from RNAcentral.